GACGAACGCUGGCGGCGUGCUUAACACAUGCAAGUCGAACGGAAAGGCCCUGCUUUUGUGGUGUGCUCGAGUGGCGAACGGGUGCGUAACACGUGAGUAACCUGCCCUUGACUUUGGGAUAACUUCAGGAAACUGGGGCUACUACCGGAUAGGAGCUCCUGCUGCAUGGUGGGGGUUGGAAAGUUUCGGCGGUUGGGGAUGGACUCGCGGCUUAUCAGCUUGUUGGUGGGGUAGUGGCUUACCAAGGCUUUGACGGGUAGCCGGCCUGAGAGGGUGACCGGCCACAUUGGGACUGAGAUACGGCCCAGACUCCUACGGGAGGCAGCAGUGGGGAAUAUUGCACAAUGGGCGGAAGCCUGAUGCAGCAACGCCGCGUGCGGGAUGACGGCCUUCGGGGUGUAAACCGCUUUCGCCUGUGACGAAGCGUGAGUGACGGUAAUGGGUAAAGAAGCACCGGCUAACUACGUG
RNAcentral lists this ribosomal RNA (468 nucleotides) under uncultured bacterium. RNAcentral's name for it is "partial 16S ribosomal RNA". It matches the Rfam family "Bacterial small subunit ribosomal RNA", at positions 28 to 507 of the family's 1533-position model. The record is from RNAcentral.